This 497-nucleotide ribosomal RNA is filed under the name uncultured bacterium. RNAcentral's name for it is "partial 16S ribosomal RNA". It matches the Rfam family "Bacterial small subunit ribosomal RNA", at positions 28 to 507 of the family's 1533-position model. The record is from RNAcentral.
GAUGAACGCUGGCGGCGUGCCUAAUACAUGCAAGUCGAGCGAACAGACGAGGAGCUUGCUCCUCUGACGUUAGCGGCGGACGGGUGAGUAACACGUGGAUAACCUACCUAUAAGACUGGGAUAACUUCGGGAAACCGGAGCUAAUACCGGAUAAUAUAUUGAACCGCAUGGUUCAAUAGUGAAAGACGGUUUUGCUGUCACUUAUAGAUGGAUCCGCGCCGCAUUAGCUAGUUGGUAAGGUAACGGCUUACCAAGGCGACGAUGCGUAGCCGACCUGCGAGGGUGCUCGGCCACACUGGAACUGAGACACGGUCCAGACUCCUACGGGAGGCAGCAGUAGGGAAUCUUCCGCAAUGGGCGAAAGCUUGACGGAGCAACGCCGCGUGAGUGAUGAAGGUCUGCGGAUCGUAAAACUCUGUUAUUAGGGAAGAACAAAUGUGUAAGUAACUAUGCACGUCUUGACGGUACCUAAUCAGAAAGCCACGGCUAACUACGUG